CCUACGGGCGGCAGCAGUGAGGAAUAUUGGUCAAUGGGCUUACGCCUGAACCAGCCAAGUCGCGUGAGGGAAGACUGCCCUAUGGGUUGUAAACCUCUUUUGUCAGGGAGCAACGCCGGCUACGUGUAGCCGGACUGAGAGUACCUGAAGAAAAAGCAUCGGCUAACUCCGUGCCAGCAGCCGCGGUAAUACGGAGGAUGCGAGCGUUAUCCGGAUUUAUUGGGUUAAAAGGGGGCGUAGGCGGAAUGCCAAGUCAGCGGUAAAAUCGCGGGGCUCAACCUCGCUCCGCCGUUGAAACUGGCGUUCUGGAGUGGGCGAGAAGUAUGCGGAAGGCGUGGUGUAGCGGUGAAAUGCAUAGAUAUCACGCAGAACUCCGAUUGCGAAGGCAGCAUACCGGCGCUCAACUGACGCUCAUGCACGAAAGUGUGGGUAUCGAACAGGAUUAGAUACCCUUGUAGUC
Molecule: ribosomal RNA, 460 nt
Filed under: uncultured bacterium
Lineage: Bacteria
Description: partial 16S ribosomal RNA
Rfam family: Bacterial small subunit ribosomal RNA
Source: RNAcentral